This 952-nucleotide ribosomal RNA is filed under the name uncultured bacterium. RNAcentral's name for it is "bacterial SSU rRNA". It matches the Rfam family "Bacterial small subunit ribosomal RNA", at positions 52 to 1034 of the family's 1533-position model. The record is from RNAcentral.
UACUGCAAGUCGAGGGGCAGCAGGUCUGUAGCAAUACAGAUGCUGGCGACCGGCAAACGGGUGCGGAACACGUACGCAACCUUCCUUUAGGUGGGGGAUAGCCCAGGGCAAACUUGGAUUAAUACCUCGUAAUAUUAUGAAAUGGCAUCAUUUUAUAAUUAUAGCUCACGCGCUUAAAGAUGGGCGUGCGACUGAUUAUGUAGUUGGCGGGGUAACGGCCCACCAAGCCUACGAUCAUUAACUGGUGUGAGAGCACAACCAGUCGCACGGGCACUGAGACACGGGCCCGACUCCUACGGGAGGCAGCAGUAGGGAAUAUUGGUCAAUGGACGCAAGUCUGAACCAGCCAUGCCGCGUGCAGGAUGAAGGUCCUCUGGAUUGGAAACUUCUUUUAUUUGGGAAUAAACCCAUAUUUUCGAAUGUGGUUGACGGUGCCAGAUGAAUAACCACCGGCUAACUCCGUGCCAGCAUCCGCGGUAAUACUGAGGGUGCACGCGUUAUCCGGAUUCACUGGGUUUAAGGGGUGCGUAGGCGGGUUGGUAAGUCCGUGGUGAAAUCUCCCAGCUGAACUUGUAAACUGCCGUGGAUACUAUCAAUCUCGAGCAUCGUGGAUGGAAGCGAAAUAUGUCAUGUACCGGUGAUAUGCUUAUAUAUGACAUACAACACCAGUUGCAUAGCAGCGUACUACACGAUAUUGAACCUGAGGCCCUAAGCGUGAGGACCAACAGGAUUAGAUCCAUGGUAGGCCCUCCCUACACGAUGGAUACUCGACUCACCGAUUACUGUUGGUGCUGAGCUAAACAUUACUAUCCACCUGGGACUACGACGCUCGAUUCAACUCCACGAUUGACGGGGUCCCAAAUCGCGGACACGUGUUGAAUUAAUGAUCGCGAGGAACUUACUGGGCAGAUGCUGGAGACGACGUGAAGCUCUUUUGCGUAUACCUCCAAUA